RNAcentral lists this ribosomal RNA (626 nucleotides) under Hydrogenophaga sp. Its description in RNAcentral is "bacterial SSU rRNA". It matches the Rfam family "Bacterial small subunit ribosomal RNA", at positions 80 to 700 of the family's 1533-position model. The record is from RNAcentral. Lineage: Bacteria; Pseudomonadati; Pseudomonadota; Betaproteobacteria; Burkholderiales; Comamonadaceae.
UUGCUCUCUGCCGACGAGUGGCGAACGGGUGAGUAAUGCAUCGGAACGUGCCCAGUCGUGGGGGAUAACGCAGCGAAAGCUGUGCUAAUACCGCAUACGAUCUAUGGAUGAAAGCGGGGGACCUUCGGGCCUCGCGCGAUUGGAGCGGCCGAUGUCAGAUUAGGUAGUUGGUGGGGUAAAGGCUCACCAAGCCAACGAUCUGUAGCUGGUUUGAGAGGACGACCAGCCACACUGGGACUGAGACACGGCCCAGACUCCUACGGGAGGCAGCAGUGGGGAAUUUUGGACAAUGGGCGCAAGCCUGAUCCAGCAAUGCCGCGUGCAGGAAGAAGGCCUUCGGGUUGUAAACUGCUUUUGUACGGAACGAAACGGUCUGGGUUAAUACCCUGGGCUAAUGACGGUACCGUAAGAAUAAGCACCGGCUAACUACGUGCCAGCAGCCGCGGUAAUACGUAGGGUGCAAGCGUUAAUCGGAAUUACUGGGCGUAAAGCGUGCGCAGGCGGUUUUGUAAGACAGGCGUGAAAUCCCCGGGCUCAACCUGGGAAUUGCGCUUGUGACUGCAAGGCUAGAGUGCGGCAGAGGGGGAUGGAAUUCCGCGUGUAGCAGUGAAAUGCGUAGAUAUGCG